This is a non-coding RNA of Oncorhynchus mykiss (rainbow trout), 4126 nucleotides long. The record is from RefSeq and is a predicted model, not a curated record. Lineage: Eukaryota; Metazoa; Chordata; Actinopteri; Salmoniformes; Salmonidae.
CGCCCGAGCCGAGCCGACCGGACCCGACCACACCCCUCGUCUCCCCUGCGAACCCACUCCAGUCCCGCCCUACGCCCGCGGUCAUGUGACACGCUCAACAACGCACUCGCUGUGUCUCCGGAGAAAUAGAGGAGAAGAAGAAGAAUUUCGUAACCGGGGGAAGUUUUGUUUCCGUGCCAGUCCCGACUUUAUCUGUCAUUUGGAGUUUUUGUUGUUUUUCCAAACGGCGAUCGGUUGACCAAUACGUGUGACACGGUUUUGUUAUUUUCGACUGCGAAACUUUUUUUUUAACAGAACGGAAUUUAAAACGGAUUUAUUUAUUUUUUAUUUUUAUUUUUUACCUUACGCACGGAGACAGUUUACUAAGAGAUUUAAACAACGGGAAUAAUUCACGAAUAAACACACAAUAUUCUCCAUUGUAAAGUCUGGCUGCAGUCAUGAUGGUGUAUGACUUUCCACUGAAGACAGACAUGGAGACGGUGAGACUGGAGUCUCUCUAUCAGUCUUAUCCCUCGGUAGUGAACAGCGUUAUCUUCACCCCUCAUCCCUACCACCCCACACAAUACGCACACACACACACCUUCUCCCCCUCACACACACUCACACACGCCCAGUCCGCCAACCCCACCUCAAAUACACAACUCGAACCAGUCGACUUGUCGGUCAGCAAACGACCCUCUCCCUCCUCCUCCUCCUCCCCUUCUUCCUGUUCCUCCACUUCCUCCCCGUACAGUCGUUCCUCCCCCCAGCCCUCCCCCUCCCUCCAUUACCCCGUGUUGUUAGGCUCCGGCCCCGGGGUCGUCCAGGGUUCAGGGGUCAUGCUGUCCCAGGUCAUGCUACAACCCUUGUCCAUCCUCUACCCCUCCUCCCCGCUGCACCUGCCUCAGCCAAUCGCGGUCAACCGAACCGUCGCUGGCGACGACCACCACCAUCAUCAUCAUCAUCACCAUCACAGGCCGGCAGGAAGCUCACAACAUCAGACAGCAUCCUCCAUGAAGUCAGAGCUCAGAGGCGACGCACACCACAAGCUAAUCAAAACAGAGCAUGCCCACGACUCAUACAACCAGGAAAUGACCUCAUCGGUCAUCAGCGCGCCACAGGCCUAUAGCGAUAACAACCCGUCUGUGAUCGUCCAUUCUGGGGUUAAUCACCCGUUGCCAAUCGAGUCUCCGGACUCGAUGAAGAAGAGACGAAUCCACCGUUGUGAUUUCAACAGCUGCAACAAAGUCUACACCAAGAGCUCUCAUCUGAAGGCACAUCGCCGCACACACACAGGAGAGAAGCCCUAUAAGUGCAUGUGGGAGGGGUGCACGUGGAAGUUCGCCCGUUCGGACGAACUGACUCGUCACUUCCGUAAACACACAGGCGUCAAACCGUUCCAGUGUCCCGACUGUGAACGCAGCUUCUCCCGAUCCGACCACCUGGCUCUACAUAAGAAACGGCACCUGCUGGUCUGAACGGCAACGCAACGCAACGGCUGUGAAACGUCAUUUCGACACACAAGGCGAACGCAGCCCGUUGGGUAGUUGGUCCAUACAGGACCCCAAGACAGGACCGUUGGACAGAGAGAGACCCGGGGACUUAAACAUCCUCUAUCUGUCUAUCACUUUAUUCAGUCAGCCAAUCAGCCGUCCUCUUCCUCUCCACUCCUCCACCUCUUCUUAGUACCAGAGCUCCCCGUUGUCUCCCAGUACUCGCCGUUGUCUCCCAGUGCUCGCCGUUGUCUCCCAGUGCUCGCCGUUGUCUCCCAGUGCUGAAGGCGGAUGGUGUUCGUAGGCCCAGAUCUAGGAUCAGCUAAACCUCCAGACAUCUUGACCUUAACCAUAGAGAGAGACAGACAUCUUAACCUUAACCAUAGAGAGAGACAGACAUCUUGACCUUAACCAUAGAGAGAGACAGACAUCUUAACCUUAACCAUAGAGAGAGACAGACAUCUUGACCAUAGAGAGAGACAGACAUCUUGACCUUAACCAUAGAGAGAGACAGACAUCUUGACCUUAACCAUAGAGAUAGACAGAGGUCUUAACCAUAGAGCUAGACAGAGGUCUUAACCAUAGAGAUAGACAGAGGUCUUAACCAUAGAGAUAGACAGAGGUCUUAACCAUAGAGAUAGACAGAGGUCUUAACCAUAGAGAUAGACAGAGGUCUUAACCAUAGAGAUAGACAGAGGUCUUAACCAUAGAGAUAGACAGAGGUCUUAACCAUAGAGAUAGACAGAGGUCUUAACCAUAGAGAUAGACAGAGGUCUUAACCAUAGAGCUAGAACGAGGACUCAACUUUGUACGGCGUCUGUGACGGCAUGGGCAGCGCCAAUGAUCGCCAUUUUAAAGUGAUACAUUUUUUAAAUAUAUAUAUAUAUAUAUAUAUAUAUAUAUAUAUAUAUUAUUUUAAAGCAGAUAUUUGUGAUUUUAGCGCCAUCUGCAGUGCCGGAGUCCUGAACCACAUUUAGUCUUACGUUUAUUGUGGCCACUAGAUGGCGGUGACAUGGCUCCAUAGAGAUAGACAGACAUGGCUCCAUAGAGAUAGACAGACAUGGCUCCAUAGAGAUAGACAGACAUGGCUCCAUAGAGAUAGACAGACAUGGCUCCAUAGAGAUAGACAGACAUGGCUCCAUAGAGAUAGACAGACAUGGCUCCAUGCCAUUAACAAACCGUAACAACCUAUUUGAAGAAGAAGAAGACAUUUGCUCAUAAGGCUGAUCGCUCUCAAACCCCAUAAGGAUUCCCUACCCAGUUUGACUACUUUAAAAUGGUGGAAGUCCUCGAUGUCCAUGCUAAAAAAUUACAAAAAACGGGUUCUAAUCCUUCCAGAGAGUUCCUUUGUACCUCUAUGAAUGCAUUAUGGAUACAGCACCACAGAUACAACGAUUAGACAGAUGUUUCACCAUAUAUAUAUAUAUAUAGAGAGAGAGGGAGAGAAACGUUUGUUAACGGCUGACCUGAGAUUAGAGUCAACGUGGACUGAGUGGCUCCCUCUGCUGGACGGAGGGGACUACCUGCUGCUCAGUACUCAGUGGACACACACACACACACACACACACAGCUCAACAGCCUGUACUGACUCUAGUCACAUGAGUGGAGUCACAGGUCAACAGCAGGCUCUGGUAGAAGGGCUGUGGGGGUUCCCAACCACAGGUCAACAGCAGGCUCUGGUAGAGGGAGGGGAACGGCUGUGGGGGUUCCUAACCACAGGUCAACAGCAGGCUCUGGUAGAGGGAGGGGAACGGCUGUGGGGGUUCCUAACCACAGGUCAACAGCAGGCUCUGGUAGAGGGAGGGGAACGGCUGUGGGGGUUUCCAACCACAGGUCAACAGCAGGCUCUGGUAGAGGGAGGGGAACGGCUGUGGGGGUUCCUAACCACAGGUCAACAGCAGGCUCUGGUAGAGGGGGUGGAACGGCUGUGGGGGUUUCCAACCACAGGUCAACAGCAGGCUCUGGUAGAGGGAGGGGAACGGCUGUGGGGGUUCCUAACCACAGGUCAACAGCAGGCUCUGGUAGAGGGGUGGAAGGGCUGUGGGGGUUCCUAACCACAGGUCAACAGCAGGCUCUGGUAGAGGGAGGGGAACGGCUGUGGGGGUUCCUAACCACAGGUCAACAGCAGGCUCUGGUAGAGGGGGUGGAACGGCUGUGGGGGUUCCUAACCACAGGUCAACAGCAGGCUCUGGUAGAAGGGCUGUGGGGGUUCCCAACCACAGGUCAACAGCAGGCUCUGGUAGAGGGGGUGGAACGGCUGUGGGGGUUCCUAACCACAGGUCAACAGCAGGCUCUGGUAGAGGGGGUGGAACGGCUGUGGGGGUUCCUAACCACAGGUCAACAGCAGGCUCUGGUAGAGGGGGUGGAACGGCUGUGGGGGUUUCCAACCAUUACAAGGCAAAGGCUUGUUGUCUUUGAUUCUAGAAAUGUGAAACAAACUCUUUUUAUUAUCCUGGGGCAUUAUCAUGAUCAUUAUUCUGUUUGAUUAUUUUUUAUUCUUAUUAUUAUAAUAAUUGUUGUUGUUGUUGUUGUUGUUGUUGUUGUUGUUGUUGUUGUGUAAAUAAAAUACUUCCAUUGAGCCGGUUGAAAGUGGACUCGGCGAUAUGACAUCAUCAUAUACGGCAGGAAGCAGGGUGACUUCCUGCUUUACAAAA